RNAcentral lists this long non-coding RNA (2452 nucleotides) under Sarcophilus harrisii (Tasmanian devil). Its description in RNAcentral is "lncRNA (ENSSHAG00000031087.1)". The record is from RNAcentral. Lineage: Eukaryota; Metazoa; Chordata; Mammalia; Dasyuromorphia; Dasyuridae.
UCCCAGGAGGCAAAGGGCAGAGUCCUGGAGAUCCGUCAGCAGGGGAACAAAAUGCUACAUUCUCACUGGGUCUCCAUCCACAGCAGAGAAAUGGGGCCCAUGCCUAGUGGGGCAGCCUCGUUGGUGUGGACUGAGGGGGAUACGGGAGGGGGAAGGCAGGAGGUUACUCAACUUCUGAGAGCAAGGGCCCUUCGACUCGAGCAGAUGAGGUCUGCCCGCUGCGGAGAGAGGCUGUGUGGGGCACGUGCCCCAGGGCCCACUAUCUCCAGGGGGCACUGAGCACCAAGGGGCCAGCACCAGUUAAAAAACCUCUGCCCAGAGUGGGCAAACAGCCUGGGAAGCAGCAAAACCAUGGCAUUCAAAGCAAACGAGGAAGUCAGUCACAUCCAUGAGGGAAGGCUCUGGGAAGCUGCUGGAGUUGCAGCCCCAUCCAAUCCUAAAUACCCACUGCCACCCCUGGUGCCUGGGAAUCCAGAGGGCCCUAAAUAGGGAACAAACUGCCUGAAGGCCCUUGGAGGGAUGGAGGGAGAUUCAAACCUCCUCCCUCCUAUCCUCCUGAGAACUGGGAUCCUACCCUGUCCAGCCCUGACUCAAGGAAGUUCCAGGACAGCCCUUCUAACAAAGAAUUUGCAGCAAACAUCAGACACCCACACAUGCCCUAAGCCACCCCAUUCCCAUUUCUUCUUACUCUUCCCCCAAUUAAAAAAAUAAACAACUCCCCCUAAAGGCAGCAAAUCUCAUGAAACUAAAGGCAUAGAAAUGGCUUUCCUACUUCUCACUUCCCAGAAAGUAGCCACAGUGAAGGGCCAGACCCUUCCCUGACAGCUGGCAGGAGCACCAAGUCUGUCUGGGUCCCUUUCUCACAUAUAUGUACACACAUACACACAUACACAAAACACAUAUUCCAGUGCAUUCAACAGAAUGGGGCCGGGGGAAGGGUUCUGGUGGCUGCAACAGGCCAGUGGGGUUGCACUGUGUCCUCCCAGUGCUUAGAAGCCACAGUUGUCUGCUCUGAACACAAACAGACGCCUCUAGGGGACUGGUUUGUAGGUCAUUGGGAGGUGAUUUUUUUCCACUUUGGAUUGAGCAAGACUAGGAGGCUGCAGAGAGGUCAACUCCCUAGAGACCCAAGAGUGGGAGGCUCACACAGACACUUAUUUCUGCUUCUCGGAUCCAGGGGGGAGGAAGGGGAGGGUAUGUUUCAGACACCCCCUCCCCCUUUCUUUUCAGAUCCAACCAACUCAUCUGAGAAGGGGAGUCCCAGAGUUUGGCUGCUAUAGGAACCAUCCCACUCCCACUUCUGAAUGAUCUAUUCCAGCAGCUCUAGACCCCCUAACUCUGGGACACAGGCUCCCCAGAGCCGGGGGACUGCCCUGCUAUAGAAAGGGGGACUUGUUUCUGUCCCCCCCCUCCGAAAAAAUUCUAAGAUGAAUAAUAUGGCUUUGCCCUUCACUCAGAGCCCUACUCCGGCCUUCAGCUGGUUACAGGUCACUUCUCUGCCUUGCUCCCCUUCUACCUCCCCGCCCCAAGAGGCAGCCAGGCUACUGGGGGAAGGGAGUGUCUCAGGGGCCUGACCUAGGAACCAUUCCAGCCUUUUCACACAGCAGGAGGUGGGAAAAGCAAGGAACAGAAUCCUAAAUGACACAAAAUCAGCCCUUUCCACCACCACUACCACCCUCCCCAAACCCCUCCAUUUGGUUUUAAAAGUUUACUCAGGCUUGUUUGAGGACUCAGUUCUUGACCUCACAUCAGCUAGCAAUUUGUGGGGGGGAGAGAAAGAGAGGUUGUAGAGAAGGGUGGGCUGGGUAGGGUGAAUUCAGGGAAUCAGUAGGUGAAGAGUUGGGAUGGGGGUGGGAGAGCCUGCUAUGGCAUGAGCAGCCCUGCUCCCGUCACCAGGACUCUAUGGCUCAGCUUGAGAGAGAAACCACAAGAAACCAAGCCCUGAUCCCACACAUAUGGGAUAGAGUGAAGGAGCGGAAAGCUUCUGCAAGACAGAAAAGUAAGGAUUUUAAAGCCUUCAAAACCCAGUUUUAAGGCCUCGGGUAGAAAUGAGGCAUAAGGACAAACCUACCCCCGCUUUUCCCUACCCUCCAGCAUGGAAGAUUGGGGGUAGGCUGGUUAAUUUAGAUUGUCUGUAACACUAUAGUCAGAGCACUCGGCAUUAUGGCCUUGAUACACAGAAGGAAGAAGACGCACAUCAUCCAUGACACACCUGGAAAAGGAUGCCAGAAUCCUAAUGGAAACAUUCAAAGGAAGAGUAGUGUUGGUCAAGAGAUGGGCAGGUAGAAGGAAUGCUUCCAGAAGUCCAUUUGUGAGACACUUAUUUAUAAGCCCUGCAUCCCGGUCCCCUGACUCACUUCCCUAGGAGAUUUCUCUUUGUUCAUCACAAGCUAACUUUCUUAGCAGAAAAAAUACAGUGUGUACCCUGAGAUGAGAUUCAGGCUAUGGUAGG